Molecule: unclassified non-coding RNA, 337 nt
Filed under: soil metagenome
Description: partial contains 5.8S ribosomal RNA, internal transcribed spacer 2, and large subunit ribosomal RNA
Rfam family: 5.8S ribosomal RNA (bases 1-120)
Source: RNAcentral
GAUGAAGAACGUAGCGAAAUGCGAUAAGUAAUGUGAAUUGCAGAAUUCAGUGAAUCAUCGAAUCUUUGAACGCACAUUGCGCCACUUGGUACUCCGGGGGGCAUGCCUGUUCGAGCGUCAUUUCAACCCUCAAGCUCUGCUUGGUAUUGGGCUCCGUCCUCCUCGGACGCGCCUCAAAGACCUCGGCGGUGGCGUCUUGCCUCAAGCGUAGUAGAAACACCUCGCUUUGGAGUGCAUGGCGUCGCCCGCCGGACGAAACCUUUUGUAUUUUCUCAAAGGUUGACCUCGGAUCAGGUAGGGAUACCCGCUGAACUUAAGCAUAUCAAUAAGCGGAGGA